UGAGGAAUCUUCCACAAUGGGCGAAAGCCUGAUGGAGCGACACCGCGUGAAGGAUGAAGGUUUUGUUAUUGUAAACUUCUUUUCUGUGGGACGAUAAUGACGGUACCACAGGAAUAAGGGACGGCAAACUACGUGCCAGCAGCCGCGGUAAUACGUAGGUCCCAAGCGUUAUCCGGAAUUACUGGGUGUAAAGCGUCUGUAGGUGGAGAGAUAAGUUACAUAGUAAAGUUUGGAGCUCAACUCCAAAAAUCUGUGUAAAACUGUCUUUCUAGAAUCGGGGAGAGGGAAGCGGAACUGUGAGAGUAGGGGUGCAAUCCGUUGAUACUCACAAGAACACCAAAAGCGAAGGCAGCUUCCUGGAACCGUAUUGACACUGAGAGACGAAAGCGUGGGGAGCGAAAAGG
This 404-nucleotide ribosomal RNA is filed under the name uncultured bacterium. RNAcentral describes it as "bacterial SSU rRNA". It matches the Rfam family "Bacterial small subunit ribosomal RNA", at positions 355 to 776 of the family's 1533-position model. The record is from RNAcentral.